Molecule: ribosomal RNA, 251 nt
Filed under: uncultured bacterium
Lineage: Bacteria
Description: partial 16S ribosomal RNA
Rfam family: Bacterial small subunit ribosomal RNA
Source: RNAcentral
CACCCUACGGGACGCAGCAGUAGGGAAUCUUCCACAAUGGACGAAAGUCUGAUGGAGCAACGCCGCGUGAGUGAAGAAGGGUUUCGGCUCGUAAAGCUCUGUUGGUAGUGAAGAAAGAUAGAGGUAGUAACUGGCCUUUAUUUGACGGUAAUUACUUAGAAAGUCACGGCUAACUACGUGCCAGCAGCCGCGGUAAUACGUAGGUGGCAAGCGUUGUCCGGAUUUAUUGGGGGUAAAGCGAGUGCAGGCGG